Colossoma macropomum (tambaqui) is the source of this 947-nucleotide long non-coding RNA. RefSeq lists it as uncharacterized. The record is from RefSeq and is a predicted model, not a curated record. NCBI's taxonomy places the organism in Eukaryota, Metazoa, Chordata, Actinopteri, Characiformes, Serrasalmidae. The transcript has 4 exons.
CUGAGGCGGCAGCGAUUGUAUCAGGGUGGCCGUGCCCGCCGUUGCCCAUAAUACAUGAACACACGUGAUCUCCAGAAAGUAGUAUUUGGAGAUUGGUGAAUGUCAUUAUCAUACUGUUUAGUGUGGCAGUAUGUGGUUUUUUACACGGCCUACAUAUGUGUAGCCUGUGUGACACUAGGUACCAGCUGUUAUGGAAACAGAAGGACCCAGCAGGAAGGCAAGUUUUCAGUGUCGAGAGCAAACGCGAAUAUCUUGAGCUCUCACGAGAUCCCUAGUAUGCCGGCAUUGUUCAAACAACGUGCUUAGAACGCCACUGUAGUCUGGAGGUUCCGACUUUUAUUCGUGUGUACGCACUGGAAACGCUGAAAGAAGUCUUGGUGGUUUGCCCUGCUUAAACAGUCAGAAAGAUGAGAUACAGUUAAUUGUGGAGGCUGGUGACUGAAGGAGAGCUUCCAGAGGGUGUCAGCAGUCACAGUUACUGAUGUAAAUGUAACCUACAAAGAGAGUGGCUGAAGACGAGGGUGCAGAUAUUGGUGUAGCCACUGUUUUUCCCACCCUUUUAUUUGUUUCUUUUCUAUGGCUUCUUUUUUUGGUGUUUUUCUUAAUACCAUAAUGACAUAAGGUUCUAUUUACUUAAUUUGGUACCAGUUUGGAGACUUUUGUGGGUUUUGUUUUCCUUUCUGGAUUUUGUUUUAUGUCGAGUGAAGGGUUGGUUUCCAAUAUUUCUUAUUGUUAUUAGUUAUUUGUAUUGUUAAUGGAGGAAUGUGCAAUAUCCUGGGGUCGUUAGAGUUUACAUUUUAGCCAAGUGGGCACAGUGCAGUACCUUCUUUAAAUGUCAAGUUCUGAUUGACAGUGGGAAUCUUUUUUUCCGUAGGACACCACCGGUAUUUUUUAGCUCUUGACAUACUUUAUUAGCAUAAUAGGAGGCAGAAAUCUUUGUGUGUGUG